Molecule: ribosomal RNA, 468 nt
Filed under: uncultured bacterium
Lineage: Bacteria
Description: partial 16S ribosomal RNA
Rfam family: Bacterial small subunit ribosomal RNA
Source: RNAcentral
GACGAACGCUGGCGGCGUGCUUAACACAUGCAAGUCGAACGGACAGGCCCUGCUUUUGUGGCGUUCUCGAUUGGCGAACGGGUGAGUAACACGCGUGUAACCUGCCCUUGACUUUCGGAUAACUUUUGGAAACUGGGGCUAAUACCGGAUAGGAGCUCCUGCUGCAUGGUGGGGGUUGGAAAGUUUCGGCGGUUGGGGAUGGACUCGCGGCUUAUCGGCUUGUUGGUGGGGUAGUUGAUUUCCAAGGCUUAGAAGGGUAGCCGACCUGAGAGGGUGGCCGGCCACAUGGGGCCUAGGAUAAGGACCAGUAUCCUACGGGACGCAGCGGGGGGGAAUAUUGCGCAAUGGGGGGAAGCCUGAUGCAGCAACGCCGGGAUCGGGAUACCGGCCUUCGGGUUGUAAACCGCUUUCGCCUGUGACGAGGCGGGAUUGACGGUAAUGGGUAAAGAAGCACCGGCUAACUACGUG